UGUUUAUCCUGGUAACACGGACACAAAAUAGAAGACGAGCAAGGACCAUAGAUUUUCCUCUAGAAGCUGGGCAUACCAGUACAGUAUCACCCAUGAAUCUCGAAUGUGAUAGUUACCAGAAAUGUGGGUGGGCAAAGUCAGCAAGUGACAAGACUGCCUUUCUGUGUAUGAGGCCUCAUUAAUACUUCAGUAUUCAUCUGAAGACAGAAGGGUAUGU
This 217-nucleotide long non-coding RNA is filed under the name Mustela putorius furo (domestic ferret). Its description in RNAcentral is "lncRNA (ENSMPUG00000031598.1)". The record is from RNAcentral. Lineage: Eukaryota; Metazoa; Chordata; Mammalia; Carnivora; Mustelidae.